This 372-nucleotide ribosomal RNA is filed under the name uncultured bacterium. RNAcentral's name for it is "bacterial SSU rRNA". It matches the Rfam family "Bacterial small subunit ribosomal RNA", at positions 523 to 898 of the family's 1533-position model. The record is from RNAcentral.
AUACGUAGGGGGCGAGCGUUGUCCGGAAUUACUGGGCGUAAAGGGUUCGCAGGCGGCAUGACAAGUCCGAUGUAAAAGGCGAAAGCUCAACUUUCGUAAGCAUCGGAAACUGUCAAACUUGAGUGAAGGAGAGGCAAGUGGAAUUCCUAGUGUAGCGGUGGAAUGCGUAGAUAUUAGGAGGAAUACCGGUGGCGAAGGCGACUUGCUGGACUUCAACUGACGCUGAGGAACGAAAGCGUAGGUAGCAAACAGGAUUAGAUACCCUGGUAGUCCACGCCGUAAACGAUGAGUGCUAGGUGUCGGGGGUCAAACCUCGGUGCCGUCGUUAACACACUAAGCACUCCGCCUGGGGAGUACGUGCGCAAGCAUGAA